RNAcentral lists this ribosomal RNA (523 nucleotides) under uncultured bacterium. RNAcentral's name for it is "bacterial SSU rRNA". It matches the Rfam family "Bacterial small subunit ribosomal RNA", at positions 15 to 518 of the family's 1533-position model. The record is from RNAcentral.
GAUCUGGCUCAGGACGAACGCUGGCGGCGUGCCUAAUACAUGCAAGUCGAGCGAAUGAUUAGAGAAGCUUGCUUCUCUCUGAUUAGCGGCGGACGGGUGAGUAACACGUGGGUAACCUACCCUAUAGACUGGGAUAACUUCGGGAAACCGGAGCUAAUACCGGAUAAUACUUCGAAACACAUGUUUUGAAGUUGAAAGAUGGUUUCGGCUAUCACUAUAGGAUGGACCCGCGGCGCAUUAGCUAGUUGGUGAGGUAACGGCUCACCAAGGCAACGAUGCGUAGCCGACCUGAGAGGGUGAUCGGCCACACUGGGACUGAGACACGGCCCAGACUCCUACGGGAGGCAGCAGUAGGGAAUCUUCCACAAUGGACGAAAGUCUGAUGGAGCAACGCCGCGUGAAGUGAAGAAGGAUUUCGGUUCGUAAAACUCUGUUGCAAGGGAAGAACAAGUAGCGUAGUAACUGGCGCUACCUUGACGGUACCUUGUUAGAAAGCCACGGCUAACUACGUGCCAGCAGCAGC